Molecule: small RNA, 765 nt
Filed under: Pan troglodytes (chimpanzee)
Lineage: Eukaryota; Metazoa; Chordata; Mammalia; Primates; Hominidae
Description: unitary pseudogene
Source: RNAcentral
UUUUCCCCAUAAGAUGAAUAAAAACAACAAACUUUCCAGUUUCAUAGCCAUAAGAAAUGCUGCUUUCUCUGAAGUCGGCAUUGGGAUCUCGGCCAAUGCCAUCCUCCUUCUCUUCCAUGUCCUCACGUGCCUUCUCAAGUACAGGACCAAACCCAGUGACCUGAUCAUUGGUCACGUGGCCCUAAUCCAUAUCGUGUUGCUGCGUGAUAUGUUGUUGCCCAAGGGGUUCAUAGCUACAGAUAUUUCUGCGUCUCAGGAUUCGGGGGAUGAUAUCAAACAUAAGUCAGUUAUCUACAGGUACAGGUUGAUGAGAGGCCUCUCCAUUUCCACCACCUGCCUGUUGAGUGUCCUCCAGGCCAUCAACCUCACCCCCAGGAGCUCCUGUUUGGCAAUGUUCAGAGAUCCUCACAUCACAAACCGCAUUGCUUUCUCUUCCUGUGGGUCUUCCACAUAUCCAUUAGUGGAAGCUUCUUAGUCUCCACUCUUCCCUCCAAAAAUGUUGCCUCAAAUAGUGUUACAUUUGUCACUCCAUCCUGCUCUGCUGGGCCCCUGAGUUGCUUCCUUGGGCAGACAAUUUUCACACUGAUGACAUUUCAGGAUGUCUCCCUUGCAGGGCUCAUGGCCCCCUUCAGUGGAUACAUGGUGAUUCUCUUGUGCAGGCAUAACAGGCAGUCUCAGCAUCUUCAUAGUAUCAACCUUUCUCCAAAAGCACCCCCAGAUAAAAGGGCCAUCCACAGCAUUCUUUUGCUCGUGAGUUUCUUUGUG